ACUGCCAGCCUACACGUCUUAUACUGUGCCUGUUAACAGGGGUGAUAACAUAGCUGAUUAGCUUAAUCUAGGGUGGUUAUUGGGGUAAGGAGCGUGGUUAAGUCUACUGAUGUUAAUGUUAAAAAAAGUCCAAUGGCUGCACUGGUUUAUAGCGAGAGUACACUGCUGCUUGCACUCGCUUGCCUUCUGGAGGGGUGGUCUAAAAUUUAGGAGAACUCUUGGAGGCUCUCGAGUCUAUGUAUUGGGAGGAGGAGGAGGUGUCCUCAGAGCCUCUAUUACUCUGAGCUCUUCCUUUGAGAUCUCUCAAAUCCUAGCCAGGUCUGUUCCUGCUUAGCCUACAGAAAGAUUCCAUCAAGGCACAUGGUGCAUACAUAUGACAUCUGAGGAGACAAAGGCUGUCUCUUUUGCGUCAAGGGCUGCUGUGGUUCCCAGGGAGAGGAAGGAACCCCUGGCUUCUCCUUGUGUACCAGCCACGUACACCACUCGCACCUAGUGGUUGUCCCCUUGGCAGCUGCCAGUGGUGUAUCGCUGGGGCUGCCGAAUACACCAAUACAGGUACAGGACUCUGAAUACACGUAACAGGAGGGCUCUGAAUACAUGUACAGAAGGGCUGUGCCCUCAUCCCUGAGGGCAAAGGUGCCAUGGGCUGCCCUUGCUGGUGUAAACAGGGUCACUAGCACAGGGGAGCUCCCACCACUCUCACCACAGCCAGCUUCCCUGGGGUAAACCUAGCUCAGUGGCACUCGUGCAUUCAAGCACGGGUCUUCUCAUUAAGGCAUUUAUUAUACCUGAAACUUUAUCAGAUCCCCAGGUAGUCCAGGAACCAUCAGUGCCCUCAUAAAUCUCUUUUAUAGAAGGGCUGAUCUUUACUGAAAGCAAUUAAGCUGGCCCAGAGUUCACUUUUCUUUUUUAUUAACAACGAACAAAACCCAUCCUGAGGCUGGGAAUCAGUUCUUGCACUUGGCUCUGUUCCGUUUUCAUCUUAUCAGUCCUUCGAACAAGCCAGCAAAGAAUUUUUCUUUGUGCAUGAGGUACAAUAUUUUUUUGGCAGAGCCUGGGUAGGAGCAGGCUGGAGAGCGACACGGAAGGGGUGGAAGAGAGGAACAGGAAGGACAUUGUCCCAGCUCUGAGAGCUGGUGGUGAUAAGCAUUUGUCACAACAGCAAUUUGUAUUCAGGGCUAUGGCAGGGCUCUCGCUUUAAAAUUGAAUAUCUCUUUUCUCCUGUUCGGAGCACAGGGCUUAGCUCUGUGCCUGGGGACGUGACCCAUCUGAGACAGGCAACGUCCUUUCAAGUCAUGAUAUGAAGAUGUAUGCAGGCAAACUUGGGCAGUUUUUGAACCCAAUAAAAUGCAGUCAUUUUUCUAGGUUUCCCAGUAAUUGGGCUGGAAAUCCAAGUGUGUUUGCCUCCUUCCACUUCACUUGCUAUAAGAGGGGAGGGCAGAGCGGUGAAGGAGGACGUGACCCGAGUAGGCAAGAAAACUGGUAGCGUUGUGGGGUGGGUAAAAAGAAGGAAACCCAAAAUGGAGAGCCAUACACAGGCAGGCUUGGGGUGUCUGUGUCCAGUUUUUGAAGCUUUGCAUUUUGCUUUUGAGGCCUCGACCUCGCUGAGCACAGCACCGGAGCUGGAACAGCAGGGCCAUCCCAACUCCUGCCAGCUGAGUAAGCUCGAUGCUGCUUCAGCCCCAUCACUUGAAGGGUUAAUAAUGCCCUUUCUCUCGAUUCCUCGCCUGAUGGCAGCUGGGCUGAGAAGUACAUGAUCUCCAAGAUCUUUUCUUGUGGUUUGCCCGUUGCUAUGGGCUGGGCUGUAUUCAUCUCCUGGAGACACCAUUCAUUUCCUGGGUGCCAUUGUGAGAUUAAAUAUAUAACCCGGUGGCUGCUCACCCGCCUCCCGGGGGUGGGAAUGCCAGUUUGGCUCCUUUGUUUGAGCUUGCCCUGCCGUGCUGUCCUGGGAGAUGGAGCCAGCUCGUGGGACAAUGGAAAGCAUUUUGUUUCUAUCCUGGAGAUCAACCUGUUAUUGUUUGAAACUAAAGGGCCUUGGUAGGGUUGACCCAGCCAGGUGACCCGGCUGGGACAAUGUCUGUGGCUGCACAGUGCAAAUCCCGUCUUUGUCUUAGCAUGCUAACACAAACCCCGAGAUCCCCAGCAUGCUGUAAAACAUCCAGUGUGCUGCUCAUAAAUUGACUUUAAGUUCCCCAUUUACCUGAGCCAUAAAAACCCACAUCUCUCCCCUUCCUGUGGUGCAGAGCCCAGGGUUUUUUUGAGGAGCUGGAGAUGAUCUUGGUGCCCUGGCUCCUCCAGGGUCAUGUGUUUGUGCUUUCAUAUUUUGUCUGGUGACUGCAAGACACUGUAGGUGUUUCUGUGGCUGAAUGUUUUCAUUUUCCUGGCCAAAUGCACCGCCUGCCUAGCACACAGGCUGCAGGGAGGAACAGCCGUUCACUGGGAAACGUGUCAGAGCACGACAUACAUGCCUGUGCAUGCAUGCUGCAUGUGUACGUGCAUUCAUGCCGCGAUGGUGUGCUCAGCAAUUGGCCGAUGAAAUGGUAAAUAUUUGAGGUCGGGAAAGUCAGCACAUUCCCUGAACUCUGCCUGCUUGUUCAGGCUGUUAAGAGUGAGGGCUAAUAUUUGAGAGCACCACACCCAGGCACGGAGAGGGCUGCAGCCAGGGUUCAGCCCCACAACCUGGGCACACAGGCAGUUGGGAGAAGGCACGGGCUUUUCCAGCCCAAUUCCCAGCUGGCCAAGAAGUUGCACAAUUUAAUUGAUUUCGGUUCGGGAAUAGGUGUGUAUGGAUGGGAGGGAGGAGAGGGCAGAGGCCUGACGUCACCUAAAUGUCCUGUAGAAAACAGUGUUUUGUGUGAGCUGCUGCAGGGCUGAACUUUGAGGCAGAGAGGGUUAGAAGGUGCUUUCAAAGAUGCGAGGUUUUGAGGAAAAUCUAUAUGGCACAACCCCUUUCUUCCUCCUGAUGCUCCCCACACCUGUGAGAAGCCCUACAAGUGCACCUGGGAAGGCUGCGACUGGCGCUUUGCCCGCUCCGACGAGCUGACCCGGCACUACCGGAAGCACACGGG
RNA transcript from Falco peregrinus (peregrine falcon), 3068 nucleotides. It is a transcript of the gene named Krueppel-like factor 5, with no coding region annotated. The record is from RefSeq and is a predicted model, not a curated record. The transcript has 2 exons. NCBI's taxonomy places the organism in Eukaryota, Metazoa, Chordata, Aves, Falconiformes, Falconidae.